AUUUUUGAAGAAGCUGAUAACUUGUAAUGAAAAGUGGAUCUCGUACGACAAGAACGUGCGAAAAAGAUCGUGUUCAAAGGCCGGUCAGGCUUGACA
This is a long non-coding RNA of Aricia agestis (brown argus), 96 nucleotides long. RefSeq lists it as uncharacterized. The record is from RefSeq and is a predicted model, not a curated record. Lineage: Eukaryota; Metazoa; Arthropoda; Insecta; Lepidoptera; Lycaenidae. The transcript has 3 exons.